GUUGUGGUUAAAAAGCUCGUAGUUGGAUCUCGGCGGACUGAGGGCGGUUUGCUUGCUAGUAUUACUGCCCUAUAGUCCGUAGUUUUGCCAGAGGUUUCGGGGUGCUCUUAAUCGAGUGUCCCGGGAUGCUGGCAGGUUUACUUUGAAAAAAUUAGAGUGCUCAAAGCAGGCUAUUACGCCUGAAUAUUCGUGCAUGGAAUAAUAGAAUAGGAAGUCGUUUCUAUUUUGUUGGUUUUCGGAAAUCGACUUAAUGAUUAAUAGGGACAGUCGGGGGCAUUUGUAUUCAAACGACAGAGGUGAAAUUCUUGGACCGUUUGAAGACAGACUACUGCGAAAGCAUUUGCCAAGAAUGUUUUCAUUAAUCAAGAACGAAAGUUAAAGGUUCGAAGGCGAUUAGAUACCGCCCUAGUUUUAACCAUAAACGAUGCCAGCUAGCGAUCUGCGGACGUUUUUUUUGUCGACUCCGCAGGAAGCUUCCGGGAAACCAAAGCAUUUGGGUUCCAGGGGAAGUAUGGUUGCAAAGCUGAAACUUAAAGGAAUUGACGGAAGGGCACCACCAGGAGUGGAGCCUGUGGCUUAAUUUGACU
Molecule: ribosomal RNA, 587 nt
Filed under: uncultured marine eukaryote
Lineage: Eukaryota
Description: SSU rRNA
Rfam family: Eukaryotic small subunit ribosomal RNA
Source: RNAcentral